RNAcentral lists this ribosomal RNA (253 nucleotides) under uncultured bacterium. RNAcentral's name for it is "partial 16S ribosomal RNA". It matches the Rfam family "Bacterial small subunit ribosomal RNA", at positions 524 to 776 of the family's 1533-position model. The record is from RNAcentral.
UACGUAGGGUGCAAGCGUUGUCCGGAAUUAUUGGGCGUAAAGGGCUCGUAGGCGGUCCAUCGCGUCGGGAGUGAAAAGCUGGGGCUCAACCCCAGUCCUGCUUCCGAUACGGGUGGACUAGAGGUAUGCAGGGGAGAACGGAAUUCCUGGUGUAGCGGUGAAAUGCGUAGAUAUCAGGAGGAACACCUGCGGUGUAGACAGCUUUCUGGACCACUUCUGACGCUGAGACACGAAAGCGUGGGUAGCAAACAGG